Molecule: ribosomal RNA, 1342 nt
Filed under: uncultured bacterium
Lineage: Bacteria
Description: bacterial SSU rRNA
Rfam family: Bacterial small subunit ribosomal RNA
Source: RNAcentral
GAUGAACGCUGGCGGCGUGCUUAACACAUGCAAGUCGAACGAUGAAGCCCAGCUUGCUGGGUGGAUUAGUGGCGAACGGGUGAGUAACACGUGAGUAACCUGCCCUUAACUCUGGGAUAAGCCUGGGAAACUGGGUCUAAUACCGGAUAGGAGCGUCCACCGCAUGGUGGGUGUUGGAAAGAUUUAUCGGUUUUGGAUGGACUCGCGGCCUAUCAGCUUGUUGGUGAGGUAAUGGCUCACCAAGGCGACGACGGGUAGCCGGCCUGAGAGGGUGACCGGCCACACUGGGACUGAGACACGGCCCAGACUCCUACGGGAGGCAGCAGUGGGGAAUAUUGCACAAUGGGCGCAAGCCUGAUGCAGCGACGCCGCGUGAGGGAUGACGGCCUUCGGGUUGUAAACCUCUUUCAGUAGGGAAGAAGCGAAAGUGACGGUACCUGCAGAAGAAGCACCGGCUAACUACGUGCCAGCAGCCGCGGUAAUACGUAGGGUGCGAGCGUUAUCCGGAAUUAUUGGGCGUAAAGAGCUCGUAGGCGGUUUGUCGCGUCUGUCGUGAAAGUCCGGGGCUUAACCCCGGAUCUGCGGUGGGUACGGGCAGACUAGAGUGCAGUAGGGGAGACUGGAAUUCCUGGUGUAGCGGUGGAAUGCGCAGAUAUCAGGAGGAACACCGAUGGCGAAGGCAGGUCUCUGGGCUGUAACUGACGCUGAGGAGCGAAAGCAUGGGGAGCGAGCAGGAUUAGAUACCCUGGUAGUCCAUGCCGUAAACGUUGGGCACUAGGUGUGGGGACCAUUCCACGGUUUCCGCGCCGCAGCUAACGCAUUAAGUGCCCCGCCUGGGGAGUACGGCCGCAAGGCUAAAACUCAAAGGAAUUGACGGGGCCCGCACAAGCGGCGGAGCAUGCGGAUUAAUUCGAUGCAACGCGAAGAACCUUACCAAGGCUUGACAUGUUCUCGAUCGCCGUAGAGAUACGGUUUCCCCUUUGGGGCGGGUUCACAGGUGGUGCAUGGUUGUCGUCAGCUCGUGUCGUGAGAUGUUGGGUUAAGUCCCGCAACGAGCGCAACCCUCGUUCCAUGUUGCCAGCACGUAAUGGUGGGGACUCAUGGGAGACUGCCGGGGUCAACUCGGAGGAAGGUGAGGACGACGUCAAAUCAUCAUGCCCCUUAUGUCUUGGGCUUCACGCAUGCUACAAUGGCCGGUACAAUGGGUUGCGAUACUGUGAGGUGGAGCUAAUCCCAAAAAGCCGGUCUCAGUUCGGAUUGGGGUCUGCAACUCGACCCCAUGAAGUCGGAGUCGCUAGUAAUCGCAGAUCAGCAACGCUGCGGUGAAUACGUUCCCGGGCCU